GCGGGAGUAGCUCAGUGGCAGAGCAUCAGCUUCCCAAGCUGAGGGUCGCGGGUUCGAUCCCCGUUUCCCGCU
RNAcentral lists this transfer RNA (72 nucleotides) under Mariniphaga anaerophila. RNAcentral describes it as "tRNA-Gly". It matches the Rfam family "tRNA". Rfam says of the family: Transfer RNA (tRNA) molecules are approximately 80 nucleotides in length. Lineage: Bacteria; Pseudomonadati; Bacteroidota; Bacteroidia; Marinilabiliales; Prolixibacteraceae. RNAcentral also lists the same sequence under 3 other names. The record is from RNAcentral.